CAGAUUGUAAUUUCAGUGGCGAACGGGUGAGUAAUGAGUACGAACGUACUCCGAAGCGACCAUAGCCUACCGAAAGGUAGGGUAAUAGUCCAUAGUCUCGCAAGAGUAAAGACGCAAGUCACUUCGGAAGCGGCGUACUUGAUACCAGCUAGUUGGUGGGGUAAUGGCCUACCAAGGCGAUGACGUCUACCGGCUCUUAGCGGAGAGUCCGGCACAAUGGGACUGAGACACGGCCCAUACACCUACGGGUGGCAGCAGUUAGGAAUCUUGCGCAAUGGACGAAAGUCUGACGCAGCGAUACCGCGUGAAGGAUGAAGGCCCUCGGGUCGUAAACUUCUUUUUUGAGAUAUAACUUUCUCUAGAAUAAGCAACUACUAACUACGUGCCAGCAGUCGCGGUAAUACGUAGGUUGCAAGCGUUACCCGGUUUUAUUGGGCGUAAAGAGUCUGUAGGCGGCCUUAUAAGUCCUGUUUCAGAGACCCCGACUUAAUCGGGGAAAGGGGCAGGAUACUGUUAGGCUCGAGUUAUAUUGGGGUUACUGGAAUUUGUAGUGUAGGGGUAAAAUCCGUGGAUACUACAAAGAACACCAAGCGCGAAGGCGGGUAACUAAAUAUUUACUGACGCUCAUAGACGAAAGCUAGGGUAGCCAAUCAGAUUAGAGACCUGAGUAGUCCUAGCUGUAAACACUGUCUGUUAAUUCUCUGGUCUUUGACUAGGGGAUGCAAGCUAACGCGUUAAACAGACCGCCUGGGGAGUAUAGCCGCAAGGCCGAAACUCAAACGAAUUGGCGGGGAGGCGCACAACCAGUGGAGCAUGUGGUUCAAUUCGAUACGAAGCGAUGAACCUUACCUGGGUUUGAAAUGUACCUGCAAGCCUGAGAGAUCAGGAAGCCUUCGAGGGUGGUACACAGCUGUUGCAUGGCUGUCGUCAGCUCGUGACGUGAGUUGUUCUCUUAAGUGAGGUAACGAGCGCAACCCCCAUCCGGUGUUACUGUGUCACCGGAGACUGCCUAGCAUUAUUUUGUUAGGAGGAAGGAGGGGACGACGUCAAGUCAGCAUGAUGCUUAUGUCCAGGGCUACACACAUCCUACAAUGGGAAAUACAGAGGGUCGCAAGACCGCAAGGUGGAGCUAAUCCUUAAAAUUUUCCUCAGUUGGGAUUGCAGGCUGAAACUCGCCUGCAUGAACCCGGAAUUGGUAGUAAUCGCGGAUCAGCAGCCCGCGGUGAAUACGUUCUCGCCUCUUGCACACACUGCCCGUCAAAUCAAAGUUGAGGGCACCUGAAGCCUGACAUUUAUGUCGGACCAAGGUGAAUUCAGCGAUGAGGGUUAAGUCGUAACAAGGUAU
This 1345-nucleotide ribosomal RNA is filed under the name metagenome. RNAcentral's name for it is "bacterial SSU rRNA". It matches the Rfam family "Bacterial small subunit ribosomal RNA". The record is from RNAcentral.